GUUGGCAAUAAGCUAACUGUUUUAGAAUCUUUAAUUUUAAAGCAUGGGUGUAGAUAAAAAUUGUAAACACGGAACAACGUUCAAUGCAUACGGAUGUCAAUUCGUCUAUUAGAACUUUAACAUAUCACAAAGAGUAAAUACUCACAUUUUAGUGUCAAAAAACAAUGCGGUACGUUAUAAUUACUGAAGUAUGUGUCAGAUAGCAAAUGUUGACAGUUGUUUGUACAUAAUGGUUGAAUUGUUAAUAAAAUUUAUCUAUAAUUAUAUAAAAGUAUGGUAGUCGAAUCGAUUAUUCUUUUAGGUACAUGCCUAGCGGUUUGUUGGCCCUGCCUUCUACCCUGUUGCUUACUACUCCCUGUCAUUCCGUAUCCCCUAAUCCUUAUAAAUGCAAGCAAAUACACGCAGAACAAUGAGGAAGAUGACAGCGGUUGCCAUUACGUAUGCAUCACCAAAAAAGGUUUUGUAUUGAAAAAACUAAAUAAUGCCCACAAAUAAACGUAUAUUAGUCUGCAUUUGUUACAAGUCCGAUCUGUAUUUAGAUUAAAAAGGCUUUAAAAGUAAAGAGAAUUAAUUUUAAUGGUUUCUUUAUCGUUGUAAUUAAAAAUCAGUAACGCAAUAAUGUGAAAGCCGGAUGUAAAAGUUGAUUUGACAAACAAAAUAUACAAAAUAAAUAUAAAUAACUACUCUACAAUACUCUACUCUUUGUGUAAGGGUACAAUUUCACAACUAAUUGAAAUAAAACUAUAUUUAAGUGUGUUGAAUGCAAGAUAUUGAAGGCCAUAAAAACCGGUUGACCGGAAUUUCCGUAUAUUCUGGAAAUCCGUAUAUUCUGACAGAAGAGAGACUUCAACACAUAUCUAUGGUAUUUUAACCAUUGAAGAUGCUUGUCUUACUUUUUACUCUGAAAAUGGAACAUUUUGUGGCAGACUGUCCAAAACUUUAAAAGAAAACAUGGCCACCCAAGUAGCUCUGACAACGAGUAAUCA
This is a long non-coding RNA of Leptidea sinapis, 986 nucleotides long. RefSeq lists it as uncharacterized. Lineage: Eukaryota; Metazoa; Arthropoda; Insecta; Lepidoptera; Pieridae. The record is from RefSeq and is a predicted model, not a curated record. The transcript is spliced from 3 exons.